Non-coding RNA from Pelobates cultripes (western spadefoot toad), 261 nucleotides. The record is from the annotation of a GenBank genome assembly. Lineage: Eukaryota; Metazoa; Chordata; Amphibia; Anura; Pelobatidae.
UCUUGCAAAUCCUUCUGCACCUUUUCCUAGCCCUUCAUAUCCUUUUCCUAACCUUCGUCUCCCUGAGAUUUACUGUAUGCCACAAUCACACUCUCUUUCACUGCCAUACACAUAAACACUCCCUUACACACCGUCAAGCACACUGUCAGUGUGAAUAUGAUAAUGAUGGUGAAAAGUGUAUUAUGUGAUCAAUGUGCAAAUGAAAACUUGAACUCCUCUCUAAACCACUUUAGAAGAAACAUCUCUAUAUUUAGCCCUGUG